Long non-coding RNA from Prunus dulcis (almond), 509 nucleotides. RefSeq lists it as uncharacterized. The transcript has 2 exons. The record is from RefSeq and is a predicted model, not a curated record. NCBI's taxonomy places the organism in Eukaryota, Viridiplantae, Streptophyta, Magnoliopsida, Rosales, Rosaceae.
AACAAACAGAAAGCACUCCCAUAGUCAGAAACCGCGUACAUAAAAAGCGUGCACUUCGAAUGCUUACUCUCUCUGCUCCAGUUCAGAGGAACCACCAACAGCAAUCAAAAUGUGUCGAUACCAAGAUUGGGAAGAUGACCAACCAGAUAGUGAAGUUCAUGAUGAAUAUCCUGGCAGAGAUGCAGUGACUGCUUUUAUACGCCAAAUUGAACAAUUAGAGGAUUUUUGGACAACAUGAAAGGUGAUAGUUCCAAAAAGCCAAACAAAUUUUGGUCUGGAUUCUUGUCAGGCAUCUGUUUCACCAUACUGCUCAACUAUGUGAUCAAGUACGUAACUAGUAACUCGUAACUAGUUAGGGUUGAUUUUGUAUAGCAAUUUGACAUCCCAGACCUUAUUCAGGUUCAGUGCACUUCUAAUGGCAUUUGUGUUCAGUUCUAUUCAUGUUGUGAAGAAACUCCUGUGGUUGUGGAUGUUUUGACUUGUGCAAUUUAUUUGGCUGCUUUAUGGCA